RNAcentral lists this ribosomal RNA (247 nucleotides) under uncultured bacterium. RNAcentral describes it as "partial 16S ribosomal RNA". It matches the Rfam family "Bacterial small subunit ribosomal RNA", at positions 88 to 334 of the family's 1533-position model. The record is from RNAcentral.
UUGGCGACCGGCGCACGGGUGAGUAACGCGUAUGCAACUUACCUAUCAGAGGGGGAUAGCCCGGCGAAAGCCGGAUUAAUACCCCAUGAAACAGGGGUCCCGCAUGGGAAUAUUUGUUAAAGAUUCAUCGCUGAUAGAUAGGCAUGCGUUCCAUUAGGCAGUUGGCGGGGUAACGGCCCACCAAACCGACGAUGGAUAGGGGUUCUGAGAGGAAGGUCCCCCACAUUGGUACUGAGACACGGACCAA